AUGGCCGCCAUGCUCCACGCCAAGAUCAACCGCAAGCGCCUCGACAAUCUCGACAUCAUCAAAAUCUGCAAGGAGAUCCUGAACCCGUCGGUGCCCAUGGCGCUCAGGCUCUCCGGGAUCCUCAUGGGCGGCGUGGUGAUCGUGUACGAGAGGAAGGUGAAGCUUCUCUAUGAUGAUGUGUCCCGUCUUCUGAUUGAGAUCAACGAGGCAUGGAAGAUCAGGCCGGCCGUGGACCACACCGUCCUCCCCAAGGGCAAGGCUCAAGCCAAGUAUGAAGCAGUAACACUGCCAGAGAACGCGGUGGAUAUGGAGGUGGAGCAGCCCGUGUUUUUGACAGAUACUGAUACUACUAGGUUUCGCGGAAUGGUAAUCGUUGUCAUCUAUGUAUUCUGGAAGUUGAAACUGUGUUAG
RNAcentral lists this ribosomal RNA (411 nucleotides) under Triticum aestivum (bread wheat). RNAcentral's name for it is "partial small subunit ribosomal RNA". Lineage: Eukaryota; Viridiplantae; Streptophyta; Magnoliopsida; Poales; Poaceae. The record is from RNAcentral.